This 253-nucleotide ribosomal RNA is filed under the name uncultured prokaryote. RNAcentral's name for it is "partial 16S ribosomal RNA". It matches the Rfam family "Bacterial small subunit ribosomal RNA", at positions 524 to 776 of the family's 1533-position model. The record is from RNAcentral.
UACGGAGGGUGCGAGCGUUAAUCGGAAUUACUGGGCGUAAAGCGCGCGUAGGUGGUUCGUUAAGUUGGAUGUGAAAGCCCCGGGCUCAACCUGGGAAGUGCACUCGAAACUGCCUAGCUAGAGUCUCGGAGAGGAAGGUGGAAUGCUUGGUGUAGAGGUGAAAUUCGUAGAUAUCAAGCAGAACACCUGUGGCGAAGGCGGCCUUCUGGACGAUGACUGACGCUGAGACGCGAAAGCGUGGGGAGCAAACAGG